This 393-nucleotide RNase P RNA is filed under the name Deltaproteobacteria bacterium GWC2_42_11. RNAcentral describes it as "RNase P RNA component class A". It matches the Rfam family "Bacterial RNase P class A". From Rfam's summary of the family: Ribonuclease P (RNase P) is a ubiquitous endoribonuclease, found in archaea, bacteria and eukarya as well as chloroplasts and mitochondria. Its best characterised activity is the generation of mature 5'-ends of tRNAs by cleaving the 5'-leader elements of precursor-tRNAs. RNAcentral also lists the same sequence under 1 other name. The record is from RNAcentral. Lineage: Bacteria; Deltaproteobacteria.
AGAGCAGAGCAGAUGGUCGCCGUAGAGGUUAUCCUUUACGGAGGAAAGUCCGGACUCCGAAGGGCAGGGAGGUCGCUAACAGCGACCGGGGGUGACCCCAGGGACAGGGCAACAGAAAAAAAACCGCCCCGCAUAAUUUAAUUGUGCGAGGUAAGGGUGAAACGGUGGGGUAAGAGCCCACCGCUCUUGAUGGCGACAUCAGGAGGCUAGGCAACCCCCUCCCCGGAGCAAGACCGAAUAGGCUUUGCUUAAAGAGUUGCCCGCUCUUUUCUUAAAACAGAAGGCAAAGCGGGUAGGUCGCUUGACCCUUAUGGCAACAUAAGGGCUAGAUGAAUGACCAUCACCUGUGAAAAUUUCACAGAUACAAGAUCCGGCUUAUGACCUGCUCUGGCA